UGAUACUCUCUCGCCGUCUCCUCAGCCAUUCGCUCUGCGCCCGCUGACGUGAUGUGACGGGUCUCCGGUUGUGUUGCAGCGGUGAGGUGGUGUUGCAUCUUUUCUCAGCGGGCGUGUUGUGGUGGAGUGCGGUGUGAAGGGAGAGGUGGAUAGGAGAUAAUUGGUGGGCUGUGUGUGGUGAGUGCCACAUUGUCUGUGAGGGACCCUCAGAGCCACACAGCACCAGCUGCAACAGCUACAGCAGCAGCAGCAGCAGCAGCAGGAGGAGGAAAUGGCAUCCACCUUCUACCUCACCCAGUGUCACCGGGGCCUCCUCCUCCUCCAGCACUACAGGUGGUGACAGAGAGGGUGGCCAGCUUGUCCCUCCCUCCUGCCACCCAGUCACAGCACUGGCAGUUGCUGCAGUGAGACUGCCCAGGCACAAGUUUGUGCACGUGUCCAGGACGUGAAGGUGAUGGGAACGUGUCCUGUAGGAGGGAGCAGAGCUGUAACAGUACCCGAGUCUGCUGCUGUGCUGGGAGAAGGAGAAAAACAUCAGCAGUAGUUAGUAGUGGUAGUAGAAGUAUUCAGCAGUGCUGCUGCUGCUGCUGCUGCUGUCAGUGGUGCAGCUGUUCACUCCUCCACAGCUGCUGCCUUCCCUCAACAUACUGUGUCUUCCCUCACCUACAAUGAACAACUAUGAACAAUACCUCUCGUGCAAUCAGGCAGCGCUCAGCUGUACUCACCGAUAGACUGACCACUAAGAAUUACCUGUGGGCCACAUGACAAGGCCCAUGCCAGCCAGGCUUGGUUGCCAAUCAAUAACAACAACAACAACAUCUCGUGCAAUGAAGAACACUGAAUAACAACAACACCUCUCCCCUGCAUCAUCAACAAUCAACAACAUCUGCUUUGUUUCACUCAUGCUGCCCCCCCCCUCUCUCUCUCUCUCUCUCUCUCUCUCUCUCUCUCUCUCUCUCUCUCUCUCUCUCUCUCUCUCCUCACCUCACCUCACCUCACCUCAGGCCACAGCGCCACAGUAUGUCCCCCCACAGUAUGUUUACAAACCCACAGUGACUCCCCACAGCCCCUCACCAAUAAGUGACCCCCUCACACACACACACACACACACACACACACACACAGCAUAACAUACACAAAUGCUGCAUCUUGUACAAUGGCCACAAUAAAGAAUGGACACACAAAA
Scylla paramamosain (green mud crab) is the source of this 1186-nucleotide long non-coding RNA. RefSeq lists it as uncharacterized. The transcript has 3 exons. NCBI's taxonomy places the organism in Eukaryota, Metazoa, Arthropoda, Malacostraca, Decapoda, Portunidae. The record is from RefSeq and is a predicted model, not a curated record.